UACGUAUGGGGCAAGCGUUAUCCGGAUUUACUGGGUGUAAAGGGAGCGUAGACGGUACGGCAAGCCCGAUGUGAAAACCCGCAGCUCAACUGCGGGAUUGCAUUAGGAACUGUCGAACUGGAGUGUCGGAGAGGUAAGUGGAAUUCCUAGUGUAGCGGUGAAAUGCGUAGAUAUUAGGAGGAACACCAGUGGCGAAGGCGGCUUACUGGACGAUCACUGACGUUGAGGCUCGAAAGCGUGGGGAG
This 245-nucleotide ribosomal RNA is filed under the name uncultured Hespellia sp. Its description in RNAcentral is "partial 16S ribosomal RNA". It matches the Rfam family "Bacterial small subunit ribosomal RNA", at positions 524 to 768 of the family's 1533-position model. The record is from RNAcentral. Lineage: Bacteria; Bacillati; Bacillota; Clostridia; Lachnospirales; Lachnospiraceae.